CCUACGGGAGGCAGCAGUGAGGAAUAUUGGUCAAUGGACGAGCGUCUGAACCAGCCAAGUAGCGUGAAGGAUGACUGCCCUAUGGGUUGUAAACUUCUUUUGUCAAGGAAUAAAACGAGGCACGUGUGCCUUUUUGCAUGUACUUUAUGCAUAAGGCUCGGCUAAAGCCCGUCCAGCAGCCACGGUAAUACGGAGGGUCCGAGCGUUUUCCCGAUUUAUUGGGUUUAAAGGGAUCGUAGAUGGGUUUUUAAGUCAGUUGGGAAAGGUUGCGGCUUAAACGUCGAAUUGCAAUUGAAACUGGCAGUAUUGAGUACAGUGGAGGUAGGCGGAAUGCGUGGUGUAGCGGUGAAAUGCAUAGAUAUCACGAAGAACCCCGAUUGCGAAGGCAGCAUACCAAAGUGUGACUGACACUGAAGCUCGAAAGUGUGGGUAUCAAACAGGAUUAGAUACCCGGGUAGUC
Molecule: ribosomal RNA, 460 nt
Filed under: uncultured bacterium
Lineage: Bacteria
Description: partial 16S ribosomal RNA
Rfam family: Bacterial small subunit ribosomal RNA
Source: RNAcentral